RNAcentral lists this long non-coding RNA (738 nucleotides) under Fukomys damarensis (Damara mole-rat). Its description in RNAcentral is "lncRNA (ENSFDAG00000029455.1)". The record is from RNAcentral. Lineage: Eukaryota; Metazoa; Chordata; Mammalia; Rodentia; Bathyergidae.
GGCACAGAGGGAGAGAAAGAAAGGAAGGAGAGAAGAAAAGGAAGGAGGAAGAGGAGGAGCAGGAGAGGGAGGAGGAAGAGAGGAGAAAGUGAGGGGGAGAAGACAAAAAGGAAGGGAAGGGGAGGAGGAGGAGGCCAUAGGGACGGGUGAAGGUGGGUGGGAGGCAGUGAGAAGAAUUCUGCUUGUUCUAAGGAAUCCAUCCAGGUGAAGGCUAUGGAAAGAGAGGUUGAGAAACAUGCGUCGAGUUCACCAGAGAUAUUUUCUGUUUUAUUGACCAUUACAUCUCUGGAGCCUGAACAGUGCUUGCCACGUAGCAGACAGUUGCUGAAUGACUACUCUAGCUGUGAAUGGAAGAAACAGGAACACCAAGUCUGAUAAUAUGCAGCUGACAGUAAGCUGUGCUCUGCCUGGUUCCUGUUUGAAUCACGCAGCUGUCCUGGUCCUAACAUCUCUCCUGCCUGUGAGACCAACACCUCCCCGAUGGAUUCACCAGCCUCCCCAUCUGCUCUGCCUCUUCAGUUUUCAACCUUAGCUACUUGUGUCCUUGUAUAUCAUCCUCCACUACCUAUGGAUCGUCCUCAUUCAGCACAGCUGGCUGUUUCUCUUCCAGUUUCAUCACCUCCCUCAAAGAGUUAACUGUUUUAGUUCAGGAUUCCAUCCAUGUUUUUGCCUAGAACAUUACAUGAGCCUCCCAGAUGACCUUUACUCCUCUAGUAAUUAUAAUAAUGGCUAUAAUUU